Molecule: long non-coding RNA, 794 nt
Filed under: Musa acuminata (dwarf banana)
Lineage: Eukaryota; Viridiplantae; Streptophyta; Magnoliopsida; Zingiberales; Musaceae
Description: long non-coding RNA (MACU_LNC002491)
Source: RNAcentral
CAGCAAAGGACGUCCACCUACAGGAGCGAUCAGAUGCUGUCUCUAUAUACAUCCGAUCCGAGCACUGGCAUCAACCACAAAUGAAUGGUAAUUAUCUUUAAAGCAAUCACUCUGUCAUCUCCGGUAGCCAUUUCUUUUAUGGAAUAGGGGUUCUCCCUGAUUGCUUUUGCAGCAUGCAACCAUAUCUUCAUCUCGUAGACCACAACUCUUUGCUUGUGGAAUUCCAAUUGGAUAUCUGAAGAAGCUCUGACACCAUGCAGAAUUACUCUUCCAUCGAUCAUCGCUGGAUUUUGUCUUGGACAAACCGUCGGCCAAGGCAUCCUCCUCCAUGAAGCAUGAAAGCAUGCUGUAAGAAGGAUUACUCCUCGCAUCAUCCCAGCUACAUGCGGAAACUGAUUCCCUGGUAUCAGAACUGGCACAGCUUAUAGGUGUUUUAUUUAUGUAGAUCUUUUCCUUACUGUGGCUGUGCCUUCCCGACAACAUUUUCUUGAGCUUGCUAAAUAGUUUUCUUCUAUGUGGGCUCUGAUGUUUAGAUUUGCCUACACUGCUACUGCUCGUCGUGGAAGAUACAUCAGAGGAACUGUUCAUAGGCUCGUCACUGUUCUCUGGCACCUGCGUAUCAGAUUCCUCAAGGUACCAAUUCUUCUCCAUGUUAGCCAAAUUUGCAUGUUUCUUCUCUGUCUCAGCACUCACCAAUUCACUUGUGCAGCUUUCUUCUCCUUUCUCGGAAGAGAACUCAGGUUUCCUUUGCUCAAAAUUUGAGCAGUCUUCGAUCAAUCUAACUUCCAACACUU